UGCUGGAGGUAUCAGAAGUGCGAAUGCUGACAUAAGUAACGAUAAAGCGGGUGAAAAGCCCGCUCGCCGGAAGACCAAGGGUUCCUGUCCAACGUUAAUCGGGGCAGGGUGAGUCGACCCCUAAGGCGAGGCCGAAAGGCGUAGUCGAUGGGAAACGGGUUAAUAUUCCCGUACUUGGUGUUACUGCGAAGGGGGGACGGAGAAGGCUAUGUUGGCCGGGCGACGGUUGUCCCGGUUUAAGCGUGUAGGUGUGUGUUCCAGGUAAAUCCGGUUCACUUUAACACUGAGGCGUGACGACGAGGCACUACGGUGCUGAAGCAACAAAUGCCCUGCUUCCAGGAAAAGCCUCUAAGCAUCAGGUAACAUCAAAUCGUACCCCAAACCGACACAGGUGGUCAGGUAGAGAAUACCAAGGCGCUUGAGAGAACUCGGGUGAAGGAACUAGGCAAAAUGGUGCCGUAACUUCGGGAGAAGGCACGCUGACACGUAGGUGAAGUGAUUUACUCAUGGAGCUGAAGUCAGUCGAAGAUACCAGCUGGCUGCAACUGUUUAUUAAAAACACAGCACUGUGCAAACACGAAAGUGGACGUAUACGGUGUGACGCCUGCCCGGUGCCGGAAGGUUAAUUGAUGGGGUCAGCGCAAGCGAAGCUCCUGAUCGAAGCCCCGGUAAACGGCGGCCGUAACUAUAACGGUCCUAAGGUAGCGAAAUUCCUUGUCGGGUAAGUUCCGACCUGCACGAAUGGCGUAAUGAUGGCCAGGCUGUCUCCACCCGAGACUCAGUGAAAUUGAACUCGCUGUGAAGAUGCAGUGUACCCGCGGCAAGACGGAAAGACCCCGUGAACCUUUACUAUAGCUUGACACUGAACAUUGAGCCUUGAUGUGUAGGAUAGGUGGGAGGCUUUGAAGUGUGGACGCCAGUCUGCAUGGAGCCGACCUUGAAAUACCACCCUUUAAUGUUUGAUGUUCUAACGUGGACCCGUAAUCCGGGUUGCGGACAGUGUCUGGUGGGUAGUUUGACUGGGGCGGUCUCCUCCUAAAGAGUAACGGAGGAGCACGAAGGUUGGCUAAUCCUGGUCGGACAUCAGGAGGUUAGUGCAAUGGCAUAAGCCAGCUUGACUGCGAGCGUGACGGCGCGAGCAGGUGCGAAAGCAGGUCAUAGUGAUCCGGUGGUUCUGAAUGGAAGGGCCAUCGCUCAACGGAUAAAAGGUACUCCGGGGAUAACAGGCUGAUACCGCCCAAGAGUUCAUAUCGACGGCGGUGUUUGGCACCUCGAUGUCGGCUCAUCACAUCCUGGGGCUGAAGUAGGUCCCAAGGGUAUGGCUGUUCGCCAUUUAAAGUGGUACGCGAGCUGGGUUUAGAACGUCGUGAGACAGUUCGGUCCCUAUCUGCCGUGGGCGCUGGAGAACUGAGGGGGGCUGCUCCUAGUACGAGAGGACCGGAGUGGACGCAUCACUGGUGUUCGGGUUGUCAUGCCAAUGGCACUGCCCGGUAGCUAAAUGCGGAAGAGAUAAGUGCUGAAAGCAUCUAAGCACGAAACUUGCCCCGAGAUGAGUUCUCCCUGAGACUUAGAGUCUCCUGAAGGAACGUUGAAGACGACGACGUUGAUAGG
This 1611-nucleotide ribosomal RNA is filed under the name Salmonella enterica subsp. enterica serovar Typhimurium. RNAcentral describes it as "partial 23S ribosomal RNA". It matches the Rfam family "Bacterial large subunit ribosomal RNA", at positions 1271 to 2860 of the family's 2925-position model. Lineage: Bacteria; Pseudomonadati; Pseudomonadota; Gammaproteobacteria; Enterobacterales; Enterobacteriaceae. The record is from RNAcentral.